This is a long non-coding RNA of Hyla sarda, 833 nucleotides long. RefSeq lists it as uncharacterized. The transcript is spliced from 3 exons. NCBI's taxonomy places the organism in Eukaryota, Metazoa, Chordata, Amphibia, Anura, Hylidae. The record is from RefSeq and is a predicted model, not a curated record.
UAUUACUUAUUCUGUUUUUUUUAUCUUGCAUUGAGGCCAUGCUUAACACCUUGUGCCUCUGCCACUGUCGUGCCUUGUUAUUGUUUUUUUGUUUAUUGAAAAUUAUUGAAAAUUAAUAAAGAUUUUGAAUAAGAAAAAAAUUUACUUUAGGGGUUAAGUAGCUGAUCCAUCUGCAGCCUCUCCCUCUGCCCCCUGUAACAGGAAGCCUCUGAUUGGUUGAUGCAGGUGCCUUUCCCAGGCUGCAGGACCAAUGAGUGCCUCCUCUUAGCUCAGGGGAGAUGACAUGAUAGAGCAGACACUCCAUGAUCUCCUGGGGCUUCGCUCUGUACUGUGAGUAGUGAUCACACUGAGGCUCCGUGCAUCACAGGAAAUCACAGAAACAGGGCAUGUCAGAUCCGGGACGGUUGGGAGUGAGGGGCCGAUGCUGGACACUGUAGGCGCGCGGGAAUGUGAAGUUGAAUACAUCACUGUGAUUGAUGCACUAUUUCCAGGAUGUGGAGUAGCAUUUCCGGACUAUCAAGACGUUGUAAUAAGGCACAUAUUUCCGGACUUACAGCAAGAAGUUGGAUGAAGGCAUAAACCCUCGAAUCACGCACAUACACAGACACUUUGCCCAAAUUCUAGAGGUAACCUCCUUUAGUAUGCCCAGAGGAAGGGCAAUACAGUAGCCAUGGAUUCCCUACAGGUUUCCUCCCCUCUGGAGGUUUUUCCUGUCCUGAGUUAGUUACUGUACGCUCUUUGUGAGUGAUGGAAGGUUACAUAAAUCCCCUACACAAACAUUUUAUUAAUAAUAAAGUUCCCCUGUUUUUAAAAUGUUCUUUGACUUGUUUGAC